This is a long non-coding RNA of Dasypus novemcinctus (nine-banded armadillo), 1702 nucleotides long. The record is from Ensembl. Lineage: Eukaryota; Metazoa; Chordata; Mammalia; Cingulata; Dasypodidae.
AGUGGGACAAAGACCGGAAUGGGUUAGACUUGGACGCUGUGGGGGUAAGUUCCUUGACACCAGCAUUUUGGAUUAUUCAGGAAAUGCCUCUGAGGCUUGGCUUUCCUCUGUGUUGUCCUUGGAAGGUCAGGAAGCUUGAGAAAGAGAUGGGGCUCCUGAGCGCUAUUCCUAACGCUUCAGGGGGGCCAGAGUCCACCCCCAGGGGAUGCGUUUAAGAUCUCAAGCUCCCCUGGGAGUAGGGAGAGGUCUAGGCAGAAGGGUAAUUACUGUCCUCAGACAGAAUGGGGUUAUGCUUAAUUAACAGUUGGUUUUCUCCUAAGGGGCCGGCACUUGCACAAGUUUUUAAAGGAUAAGGAGGAAGAAACAGCUAUUUCUGAGUCUAGGAGGGAGGUCUGAAGGCUUUCUGGGGCUUACCAUUUUACAAGAGGCUGUGAGGCUAAACCAAAAGAGACCAGCGCUCUGUUGAACUCUGACCUCUGCUCUUCUGCCCACAUGCCUGGGGAAGGACAAAGCGGCUAUUUCUCAAGAGUUCAUCACAUCUGCGGCCUGCUGACUUGUGUGCUUUUCACCUGCCGCUGUUCUGGAUCUUUGGGCUCAUCCAUUGUUGAUAGACCUCAUGUCCUUCAUCAAUUUGAAAAUUAUAUUUACUGGACACCUACUAAUGCAAAGCGCUAUAACCAAUGCCAAUAUGACAUGAGGAGGACUUUUCAACUCUGCCUUCCCAUCACCCAAGAGUUGGCAGGAUUUAGCAAGGACAAGGCAGCAGGUGUGCCAAGAAGCUUGAUACAAGGAGCUCAUGCCCUUGGGCAUCUCAGUGCUGGAUGGGGCCUCCAAAUGCUCUAAUUCAACUGUGAGCACCCACUGUGUGUCUGGCACUGUAGUAAGACACUGCAGGAGACACCAAGGCUCCUGUCCUCGAGGAGCUGAUCAUCUAGUAGAGAAACUGGAAUGAGACAAGUACAAGCUAAAGGAAAUGUCACAAGGAAACAGAGGGAAUGUGCAUGAGGUUUCAAAGGAAGGAAAGGGUAUAUCAGGUUGGAGAUAUUAGGAAGGCUUUCUCCAUUCAUUUGCUCAAUAAAGUUUUAUUUGGCACCUACUAUAUGCCAGGCACUGAGCAAGCUCUUAGGAACUGUAACAGUUUGAUAUAAUUGUUGAAUUCAAAAAAGAAAUAUUGGAUUAUGCUUAUAAUCUAAUCUAUACCUAGGCAUGACUGAGUUAUAAUUAGGGUGUUGAGAUAAAAGAAACGCCAAAGAACAGAGUUGAGGGCUUUUAAUGUUGGAGUUUUGACUUUGGAAUUUGAUGCUGAAGACUUAAACUGGAGCGCUGGGAAGUCAGCACGCAGAGGAAAGAGAUGCCAGCCACCAGAAGGAAGGAACCUUGAAGCCAGAGAUUAGCAAGCCCUAGGAACGUAGGAACCCAGGAAACCUGAACCUUCGCAGAUGUCAGCAGGCAUCUUGCUCCAGAUAGACUUUGGUGAGGGAAGUAACUUAUGCUUUAUGGCCUAGUAUCUGCAAGCUCCUACCCCAAAUAAAUACCCUUUAUAAAAACCAACCAAUUUCUGGUAUUUUACAUCAACACCUCUUUCGCUGACUAAUACAGGAACAAAAAAUAAAUGAGUCAAUAUUCCUAAUUCCAAAGACUUCACAAUAAAAUGGGAGGGACAUACGUGCAAACAAACUAUAUCAUUCAUUCAUUUAUUCAA